GAUGAACGCUGGCGGCGUGCCUAAUACAUGCAAGUCGAGCGAACAGACUAGGAGCUUGCUCCUCUGACGUUAGCGGCGGACGGGUGAGUAACACGUGGAUCCCCUACCUAUAAGACUGGGAUAACUUCGGGAAACCGGAGCUAAUACCGGAUAAUAUAUUGAACCGCAUGGUUCAAUAGUGAAAGACGGUUUUGCUGUCACUUAUAGAUGGAUCCGCGCCGCAUUAGCUAGUUGGUAAGGUAACGGCUUACCAAGGCAACGAUGCGUAGCCGACCUGAGAGGGUGAUCGGCCACACUGGAACUGAGACACGGUCCAGACUCCUACGGGAGGCAGCAGUAGGGAAUCUUCCGAAAUGGGCGAAAGCCUGACGGAGCAACGCCGCGUGAGUGAUGAAGGUCUUCGGAUCGUAAAACUCUGUUAUUAGGGAAGAACAAAUGUGUAAGUAACUAUGCACGUCUUGACGGUACCUAAUCAGAAAGCCACGGCUAACUACGUG
RNAcentral lists this ribosomal RNA (497 nucleotides) under uncultured bacterium. RNAcentral describes it as "partial 16S ribosomal RNA". It matches the Rfam family "Bacterial small subunit ribosomal RNA", at positions 28 to 507 of the family's 1533-position model. The record is from RNAcentral.